RNAcentral lists this ribosomal RNA (254 nucleotides) under uncultured bacterium. RNAcentral's name for it is "partial 16S ribosomal RNA". It matches the Rfam family "Bacterial small subunit ribosomal RNA", at positions 524 to 776 of the family's 1533-position model. The record is from RNAcentral.
UACGUAGGGUGCGAGCGUUAAUCGGAAUUACUGGGCGUAAAGCGUGCGCAGGCGGUUGUGUAAGACAGAUGUGAAAUCCCCGGGCUCAACCUGGGAACUGCAUUUGUGACUGCACAGCUGGAGUGCGGCAGAGGGGGAUGGAAUUCCGCGUGUAGCAGUGAAAUGCGUAGAUAUGCGGAGGAACACCGAUGGCGAAGGCGGCAUCCUGGACCGGCAUUGACGCUGAGUGAGCGAAAGCCAGGGGAGCAAACGGG